AUGGGGCUGGGAAUGGGAAUGGGAUUGGGACUGGGAAUGGGGCUGGGAAUGGGAUUGGGAACGGGGUUGGGAAUGGGAAUGGGAUUGGGAAUGGGGAAUUGGGAAUGGGAUUGGGAAUGGAAUGGGGCUGGGAAUGGGGUUGGGAAUGGGGAAUUGGGAAUGGGGAUUGGGAAUGGGGCUGGGCCAGAGCCAGGGCCGCGGGGGGAGUGUCCUCAUCCCAGUACGAACCAGUCGGCGCUGGGCAGGGGAGGGACGGGGAGCACCGGCCCCGCCGUGCCCCGGGGUCAGUCCCGGAUAAUCCCACCGGUAAAUUCCAUCCCGAGUCCUCUCCGCUCCGGCGGCCCCGGCGGGCGACAAUCCGCCCGGUGGGGUCACUUCUCGUCGCGCUCGGCGGCCCCGCACAGGUUGGGGUGCUCGGCCAGCGUCGCCCGGACUUUCUUCUUCUCCUUGAAGCGGCCGGAGUGCGAGACCUUGACGUGCUUGCCCCUGGUGCUCUUGUCCACGAAUUUCUCCAGGCGGGCGGCGAAUCCGGGGGUGCCCUCGGGGCCCGGUCCCUCCGCGCUGUCCCCGCCCGGUGCCGCCGGUCCCUCGGGGCUCUCGCUCGGUACGGCGGGCGCUGCCUGCCGCUUCCGCAGGAACGUCAGCUUCCAGCGGCCGUGCCCGUCGCCCAUCCUGCAGCGGGACGCGGGGGUCGCGCUCCUCCGUCCCUCCCUCCCGCAGCCCCUCCGCCCUCCCCGGGACGCGUCCUCCCCGCGGGAUGCUCGCGGCGGGAUCCCCCGGGAGCACCGGGACGGGAUCCCCCGGGAGCACCGGGACCGGGCGGGUGUUCCGCGGCUCGGGAAUCGCGGAGGAAAACCGGGAAAAGGGAACCGGGAAAAGGGAACCGGGAAAAGGGGACCGGGAGCUGCCCUUAUCAGCCACGUGUGGCGGGGAGGGAGCGCGGGGAGCGAACAGGAACAGGAACCGGGCAGGUGGCACCGGGAGGUGCCGGGGGCGCUGCCGGGGGCACCGGGAGGUGCCGGGGGCGCUGCCAGGGGGUCCCCGCCUGCCCCACACCGGGCUCGGCGCUCCCCGUUCCCGCCGGGAAAGGCUCCGGAGCCGAGCGUGGCCCCGGGGCAGGAACCGAGGGAAGGCGGCUCCCGAGCCCGGGGCACGGAGGGGAUUCCCGGUGCCCGGUGCAGCACAGCCCGCUGCCCCCGUCCCUGUCCCCACCCGUGUCCCUCCCCGGUGUCGCCGGGGGCAUCGUUUUGGGGACAAAACCCCCGUUUCCGUCUGCGACGUGGGGACAAGGCCACGGGGACUGGUGGCCCCGGUGUCCCCAGCGCCCCUCGCCCGUGCCACAGCCAGGUGGGACCAUCCCCACCCGUGUCCCCAGAGCAUCCCCGGGGGUCCCACAGACCAUCCCCAGCACGGACACCGCACCCCGGUACCUGCUCCUGCCGCGGCCGGGGUCCCGGGGAUGUCCCGGGGGUGUCCCGGGGUGUCCCGGGGGUGUCCCGGGGGUGUCCCGGGGAUGUCCCGGGGUGUCCCGGGCGUGUCCCGGAGUGUCCCGGGGGGGCAGCGCGGGCAGGUGCCGCUCACCUGCCGCUGCCCCGGUGUUCCCGUCAAGGUGAACCCGCUCCCAAACCCCUCCCGCCGGAGCAAACAGCGGGGCCGGGCCGGGCACGGCUGAAUAUUCAUGACCGGGAACGGUGCCAGCCCCGGGAGGGUGGCCCCGGGUGGCCCCGGGUGGCCUUGGGUGGCUCUGGGUGGCCCUGGGUGGCCCUGGGUGGCUCUGGGUGGCCCUGGGGAUCCCUGAGGGGUUUGGGAUCUGCUCUGGAGCCUCCCGGGGAUCCCUGA
This is a long non-coding RNA of Taeniopygia guttata (zebra finch), 1839 nucleotides long. NCBI's taxonomy places the organism in Eukaryota, Metazoa, Chordata, Aves, Passeriformes, Estrildidae. The record is from Ensembl.